Molecule: small nucleolar RNA, 206 nt
Organism: Penaeus vannamei (Pacific white shrimp)
Lineage: Eukaryota; Metazoa; Arthropoda; Malacostraca; Decapoda; Penaeidae
Product: small nucleolar RNA U3
Source: RefSeq, a predicted model, not a curated record
AAGAUCAUACUUUAUAGGAUCAAUUCUAUAGUGAGAUACUGAGUGAGGUAACGUGUAACAGGGUGGCGUCCAGGUCGCGGCAAUGCUUACAUUCCCUGACAACCACGUCAUCAAUAAUUUGCCAAGCGCGUGGGUAACCUAGUCGCCAUACUGCACAGAUUAAGACUAGGUUACCCAUGCGCUUGGCAAAUUAUCGAUAGCGUGGU